CCUACGGGGGGCAGCAGUGGGGAAUAUUGGACAAUGGGCGAAAGCCUGAUCCAGCAAUACCGCGUGUGUGAAGAAGGCCUGAGGGUUGUAAAGCACUUUCAAUUGGGAGGAAUACCUAUCCCUUAAUACGGGGUAGACUGACAUUACCUUUAGAAGAAGCACCGGCUAACUCCGUGCCAGCAGCCGCGGUAAUACGGAGGGUGCGAGCGUUAAUCGGAAUUACUGGGCGUAAAGCGUGCGUAGGUGGCUUGUUAAGUCAGAUGUGAAAGCCCUGGGCUCAACCUGGGAACUGCAUUUGAAACUGGCGAGCUAGAGUUUGAGAGAGGUAAGUGGAAUUUCAGGUGUAGCGGUGAAAUGCGUAGAGAUCUGAAGGAACACCAGUGGCGAAGGCGACUCCCUGGCUUAAAACUGACGCUGAGGUACGAAAGCGUGGGUAGCAAACAGGAUUAGAUACCCCGGUAGU
Molecule: ribosomal RNA, 463 nt
Filed under: uncultured Methylococcales bacterium
Lineage: Bacteria; Pseudomonadati; Pseudomonadota; Gammaproteobacteria; Methylococcales
Description: bacterial SSU rRNA
Rfam family: Bacterial small subunit ribosomal RNA
Source: RNAcentral